This 811-nucleotide ribosomal RNA is filed under the name Dichostereum peniophoroides. RNAcentral describes it as "eukaryotic LSU rRNA". The stretch from base 127 to 811 matches the Rfam family "Eukaryotic large subunit ribosomal RNA", at positions 1 to 710 of the family's 3401-position model. Lineage: Eukaryota; Fungi; Basidiomycota; Agaricomycetes; Russulales; Lachnocladiaceae. The record is from RNAcentral.
UCCCUUGAAUGCAUGAGUGAAGACCCAUGCGGUCCUCGGUGUGAUAGAUAUCUACGCCAUGGACCUGCGUGGACAGUGCUUUGCUUCGAACGGUCCCCUAGCUUGGGACGAACUAUAUCGACCACUUGACCUCAAAUCAGGCGGGACUACCCGCUGAACUUAAGCAUAUCAAUAAGCGGAGGAAAAGAAACUAACAAGGAUUCCCCUAGUAACUGCGAGUGAAGCGGGAAGAGCUCAAAUUUAAAAUCUGGCGGCUUUGCCGUCCGAGUUGUAAUUUAGAGAAGCGUUUUCCGCGCCGGACCGUGUACAAGUCUCCUGGAACGGAGCGUCACAGAGGGUGAGAAUCCCGUCUUUGACACGGACCCCCGGUGCUCUGUGAUACGCUCUCGAAGAGUCGAGUUGUUUGGGAAUGCAGCUCAAAAUGGGUGGUGAACUCCAUCUAAAGCUAAAUAUUGGCGAGAGACCGAUAGCGAACAAGUACCGUGAGGGAAAGAUGAAAAGCACUUUGGAAAGAGAGUGAAACAGUACGUGAAAUUGCUGAAAGGGAAACGCUUGAAGUCAGUCGCGUCCGCCGGAAUUCAGCCCCUGUGGUGUACUUUCCGACGGACGGGCCAGCAUCACUUUCGAUUGCCGGAAAAGGGCAGAGGGAACGUGGCACCUCCGGGUGUGUUAUAGCCCUCUGUCGUAUACGGUGGCUGGGAGUGAGGACCGCCUAUCUUGUAGGAUGCUGGCGUAAUGGCUUUAAACGACCCGUCUUGAAACACGGACCAAGGAGUCUAACAUGCCCGCGAGUGUUCGGGUGGAAAACCCG